AUGUGAGAACUCCUUCAAGACAGUUGGAAAAGUAUUCCAGGUGAAGCUGGUUGAGAGAAUGCCAAGACUGCAAAGGCAUCAAGGCAAAGGGUGGCUACUUUGAAGAAUCUAAAAUAUAAAAUAUAAUAGAGUUGUUUAAUUUAAUUAUCAUUUUUUGGUUACUACGUGAUUCCAUAUGUGUUAUUUCAUAGUUGGGAUGUCUUCACUAUUAUUCUACAAUGUAGAAAAUAGUAAAAUAAAGAAAAACCCUUGAAUGAGUAGGUGUGUCCAAACUUUUGACUGGUACCAGUUUUUUUAAACCAGAAAUAAUUUGACUAUGUGUAAAAUCCCUACCCCCACUAACGAUGGAAUGAGUAGGUCGAAACCCAGUUGGGUGGCUGGUACACCUCCGGAAGGCACAGCUGGCAUGGUUUGGUCAAUGGUGUGCCUAUAUUUUUGUUCAUGCAUUUGUUAAGUCACAGUGGUUGUCACACAUACAUACAUACAUACAUACAUACAUACAUACAUACAUACAUACAUACAUACAUACAUACAUACAUACAUACAUACAUACAUACAUACAUACAUACAUACAUACAUACAUACAUACAUACAUACAUACAUACAUACAUACAUACAUACAUACAAGUCAAGGUCACAAGUCAAAGUGCAAAUGUCUUUUGGAUGGGUCAGUAUGUUCCUUAGUCCUUGGGCGGCAGGACGUUGUUGUCAAAGUGUCCCUGGUUGGUGAUGUUCCCUGCUGGAAAGUACCUGGCUACCACGAAUGACGAGCCAUCUGGCGCACUGGCCUUCCCCACACCCAGCUUCUUACUGCCCUUCCACACCAUUGCUGUGAAAUGACCUGGUUAGAGAGAGAGAGAGACAAGCUAAACACCUUCACUGAAGGAAGCCCUCUGCAUACUGCUCCUCUAAAUAUUUACAGCUACAGAUCCCUAUAUUAAUCUCCUCCCCCCUCUCUCUUUCCCCUCUAUUGCACACUCCCAUCUCUCCCCCUCUCUCUUUCCCCUCUAUUGCACACUCCCAUCUCUCCCCCUGUCUUUCCUCCUUUAUCUGUCAGCAGCACAUUAGUUGAUAGGAGUGAUCCUGACGCUGCAGGGUCGGUCACACUGAGCAGGAGGCUUCGGGAAGAGAACAGGAAGGACAGAAAAGACUGGGAAUGCUAUAAAGAACUGAUUUUCCACAGGAUGCAGUGUCCAUGCAUGUUUAAACUCGGGCCAAAACCCCCAGAGUUCCAGCAGAGAUGACAGCGGCAAGGAAAUAUUAUCCAAGAUGGCAGCUGUCCAAGGCAACAGUGCUAACCGUAUAAAAGCUGCCAAAGCUUUAGGUGGGUCAGAAGAACACGGAGAGGUUUGAGAUCCCGAGUUUCAGAGGAGCAGUCCAGAGAGACAUGAACUGAGCUUGACCCAGUGAUAGUAUGUAUCCAUGGGAGACUGUUUAUGAAUCACAGCAGACUGUCAGGUCCGUGCACAGACAUAGUUGUGCUCGGAGUCAUGGUCUUGUUGCUGAAACACUCCGAACACAGAGCAGGGAAAUGGACCCCAGCUGUUCCUGCCGUUCCUGCCUGGGCCGCCACUGAACAGGAUAGUCUAUAGUUUAGACCCAACUAAACCCUACAGAGACUCUGGAUCGCUCUCUUUAAUGUUACUAUCUUUACCGUACACAGUGAAUAAUGUAUCUGUCCCCAUAACUAAACAUAUGUCAAUGUUUGGUCAUAGCAUUAGGAGUCAUUGGGUUACAGUGUGUGUACCUGGCUGGUCAUAGGAGGCCCAGGCCAGGUUCUCGCCACAGCUCCCCUUACUGGACUCAACACUGUGCUUCAGGAUCCGUGUGCUGGCCAGAGACUCAGCAUACCUACAGGGUGGAGAUAGUUGUGGUAAUAGUUAGAUAAAGACAGCUAAAAUAUGGGUGGGGUUAGGUGAAGUGGAAGGAAGUAAGGGUGUCGUUGGCCAUGUCUCUGAUAAAGGUGGUAGGUGGAGGAGAAGGCUAAGUGUGUGUGUGUGUGUGUGUGUGGGUUGGGGGCCCCGAUGUCUGGGUGACCCACCUAGUGGCAUCGCUACUCAGCUUGCUGCUCAGCUUCAGAGGGGGUGUCUGGUGCUUCCUACGAUACUCAUUAUGACUCCGCAACACCUCCUCUGAAAACUGCUUAGAAGCUGAGAGAGUGAGAGAGAGAAACACAAAACAAGAUGCCAUGAAAAAACUGAAGGUAAAUGUCUAUUGUUUCCAUUGUUUUCACUGUAAUAUACAAUCAAACUUUCAAAUCAUUAAUACAACUCAAUAAAACAAUAGGCUGCAGAUAACCAGACAGUAACUUAGGCAGUAGUACAUCUCCAGUAAGCCCCAUACAUAUGGCUGUUCCCCAGGCUUGAGUCUAUAAUACUAGACAGACAGUACCAGGGUAUGUAUGAAUGGGGGACAAAUCCACUCUCUCCCCAGCCUGGUGCCAAUCACAGCCAUACUCACACAUCUCCAUUCUCUCUGGCAUUCACACAAUGAGGCGAUUCUCUCUCACACACACACACACACACACACACACACACACACACACACACACACACACACACACACACACACACACACACACACACACACACACACACACACACACACACACACACACACAGUCUGUUACAGCCUUGUGAAUAAUCAGUGGUUGCAGUCCUUGUGGCUGGAUCCUUGACCCAGACUUAGCUUAUUCCUAAACUAAAUACCACUUUCAAAUGGAGGAUAAUGUGGUUCUGGAAACUGGCACCUAAAAUGUUCUGUCAAUCGAUCUUACACACACACCUUGCAAAUAGGGAAUUCCCCUACUUGCACAGCUAUUCCUGAUACUCUCAAUAGUGGUUUCAUCCUUACCACAGAAGGGAAGAAACUGACCUAGCGCAUAGGCGUUACAAGACUAAGUCAAUUACUUAAAAUCCACCCCUUUGUCCCUGUUGUAUGAUAACAGCCCAUUGUCACAAAUUGAGACCGAAUCUUCUUUUGUAAUCUCACACACACACACACACACACACACACACACACACACACACACACACACACACACACACACACACACACACACACACACACACACACACACACACACACACACACACACACACACACACACACUUUGAUAAACAUUCUCCACUUUCACACAGUCAUAUUCCAGUCCAUUUAAAUCUCAUGUAGUCUUACCUGAUUUGCCCAUGACACAGAAACUCUCUCUUGUUCCCUUUGGCUCAGUCCGCUCUCUGAUGGUCUGAAACAGCUGCUAUAACUUUGUUUCUGUCCCUCUCUCCCUCUCCCUUUCUGUAUUCCUAUUUUCUCCGUAGCCUUCGUUCCUCUCGCUCACACUUCUCCCUCUAGUAAACUAGUCUUUCUCAAAACUUCUGAUUCUGUCCUCUCUCACUCUUAAACACCCUGCCUUUUCUUUGGCCACACACACAUUAUCAUCCCUCUCCCCCUAUCCCUCUGUAACACACAGGCUCCCUCCCUCUGUGUAACUGAAAGGGGAGACCCAGCAUGGCUGUUCUGAUGACAUCAUCUCUAUGAGACACAUGCCCUUUUAUGGCCUGAGAUUCCUGCUUUCUGCUUGAAAUGUGAGCUGGACAUUAUACCCUAACUAAAUUAAGAGCAGUUUAACUGUUUAGAAGCACUUUUACACAGUUUUACUAGGGUGAGCCUAUGUGGCAUUGAUAUUAGUCAGAAAUAUGUAUUAUAGUGUCCAAAUUGACUACAAAGUGUAAAUAGUAGGAUCAUUCUGGUCAUAAAGUCAGUCUCGUCCAAAACUGAGAUUUUCGAGAACAUUUAAUUUAGAAAAAAGGAAGGGUACCAUAACAUUUUUCCUUGGGUUGGGUUUAUUUCAAUCCUGCCCACAGCUGGCAGCACCCAAGUAAUCAUCAAUUCGAAGUGCAGCUGCAUGUGACCCGAUUGUAAUACCCUUAGGCUAGGGUAUAGUUAGGGACCAUCAAUAAAAUUACACAAUGUACAUGUGACAAUAUUAAAAUAUUUAAAUAGCUCCAAAUUUCAAUGACUUAAAAACCUCAAACCAACUAUAAAUUGUAAACUCAUAUACAAAUAUUGAAAGCAGUUAAUGAGACAACUAAAAGGUGUGCCUUUAAUGUAUAUUUUGUCCUAGUUACAUUGUGUAAUUUAUAGACGGUCCCUAACUAGCCCCGGAGAUAGGCUAUCCAAAGUCUAACUCUGCCACUUGGGCACAACAGCCAGCUGAAGAUAAUUGGCAAAAGAAGUUGCCUAGGUGACUUCAAGACAUGGUUAGGCUGUUUUAUGUUAUCUAAAAGGGUGAAUGACUAACUGUUUUGGCAGAGUGAAUAUACAAACCCUUGUCACGUGCAAACACACACACAAGAGACCCACAUUAAAGUUUUGUUUCGUUUUC
Oncorhynchus gorbuscha (pink salmon) is the source of this 4381-nucleotide long non-coding RNA. RefSeq lists it as uncharacterized. Lineage: Eukaryota; Metazoa; Chordata; Actinopteri; Salmoniformes; Salmonidae. The transcript is spliced from 2 exons. The record is from RefSeq and is a predicted model, not a curated record.